RNAcentral lists this ribosomal RNA (373 nucleotides) under uncultured organism. RNAcentral's name for it is "bacterial SSU rRNA". It matches the Rfam family "Bacterial small subunit ribosomal RNA", at positions 526 to 896 of the family's 1533-position model. The record is from RNAcentral.
CGUAGGGUCCGAGCGUUGUCCGGAAUUAUUGGGCGUAAAGGGCUCGUAGGCGGUUUGUCGCGUCGGGAGUGAAAACCUACAGCUUAACUGUGGGCUUGCUUUCGAUACGGGCAGACUUGAGGCAUGCAGGGGAGAACGGAAUUCCUGGUGUAGCGGUGAAAUGCGCAGAUAUCAGGAGGAACACCGGUGGCGAAGGCGGUUCUCUGGGCAUGUUCUGACGCUGAGGAGCGAAAGUGUGGGGAGCGAACAGGAUUAGAUACCCUGGUAGUCCACACCGUAAACGUUGGGCGCUAGGUGUGGGAUCCAUUCCACGGGUUCCGUGCCGCAGCUAACGCAUUAAGCGCCCCGCCUGGGGAGUACGGCCGCAAGGCUA